UGGCGGCGUGCCUAACACAUGCAAGUCGAACGAAGCAAGUUGCUUCACCAAGUGUUGAACGAAGUACCCCAAGCGCAUAUGUUUAGGGAUACAAAGUAGAUAUACAAACUAAAUGGUGAAAGCAAAAGAAUUAAUGAAGAGCAAAAUGCGCUUUUCGCUAAUUCCAAGUGACAACACAACAUUGGUUCAAUGUUUGGUGAAGUAACUUGCUUAGUGGCGGACGGGUGAGUAACGCGUGAACAAUCUGCCCUAUACAAAGGAAUAGCCUCGGGAAACUGGGAUUAAACCAUAUGACACUUAAGAGUCACAUGACUAUUAAGUCAAAUUGAUUAAGAGGUAUAGGAUGAGUUCGCGUCUGAUUAGCUAGUUGGUAAGGUAAUGGCUCACCAAGNNGACGAUCAGUAGCCGGCCUGAGAGGGUGAACGGCCACACUGGAACUGAGACACGGUCGAGACUCCUACGGGAGGCAGCAGUGGGGAAUAUUGCACAAUGGGGGAAACCCUGAUGCAGCGACGCCGCGUGAGUGAAGAAGGUCUUCGGAUCGUAAAACUCUGUCCUUGGUGAAGAAAAAAAUGACGGUAGCCAAGGAGGAAGCCCCGGCUAACUACGUGCCAGCAGCCGCGGUAAUACGUAGGGGGCGAGCGUUGUCCGGAUUUACUGGGCGUAAAGGGUGAGUAGGCGGUUAUAUGUGUCAGAUGUAAAAGGCUAUGGCUUAACCAUGGUUAGCAUUUGAAACUGUAUGACUUGAGUGCAGGAGAGGUAAGUGGAAUUCCUAGUGUAGCGGUGAAAUGCGUAGAUAUUAGGAGGAACACCAGUGGCGAAGGCGACUUACUGGACUGUAACUGACGCUGAGUCACGAAAGCGUGGGUAGCAAACAGGAUUAGAUACCCUGGUAGUCCACGCCGUANNCGAUGAGUGCUAGGUGUUGGCCAGCGAUGGUCAGUGCCGAAGUUAACACAAUAAGCACUCCGCCUGGGGAGUACGG
RNAcentral lists this ribosomal RNA (985 nucleotides) under uncultured bacterium. Its description in RNAcentral is "bacterial SSU rRNA". It matches the Rfam family "Bacterial small subunit ribosomal RNA", at positions 37 to 885 of the family's 1533-position model. The record is from RNAcentral.